Molecule: long non-coding RNA, 643 nt
Organism: Sarcophilus harrisii (Tasmanian devil)
Lineage: Eukaryota; Metazoa; Chordata; Mammalia; Dasyuromorphia; Dasyuridae
Exons: 2
Source: RefSeq, a predicted model, not a curated record
UUGGCAGUUAGAAUUUGAGACAAGGACCAUCUUGGUGGAUUGGAGGAGGAGGAUUUUUUCUCUUUUCCUCUCUCCCAUCAGCAGUAGUAUUCUAUAGUAGAGCUUUCUGCCCAAAACAAGACAUCAUAUUCAGCAGGGAUCUCACAACCUGAAGUAAAACAAUCACAGAGAAUUGAGGGCAGUAAGCAGCUUUAAGGAGCAUGGCCUCUGACAGCAGAGAAGAGUAUCAACAAUGGAUUCAAGGAUUAAUUAGCCCUGGCAGUGGAGAACUGAACUCUAGGGAAGAGCAGACCCAAGGAGCCCAGAUGAAUGAGCCGCCCUACAAAGCUACUGUGAUUUUCUUUGAACAUGUGUUCCCUAAAUAUGAAACCAGGAUGUCAAGAUGGAGUUGUGAAUGUUGAAGAGGAACUAAGCUUUCCUACCACAUAUACUAUAGUGAAAGAAAACCACAGAAACAGAAGUGAGCUCUUCAACUCAGUGAAGAAUUGUACAAUAAGAUAACCAGAACAUAGUUGAAGAUGAGUUUGUAUCAUGAAACUUGCACAAGUCCCAGAGAUUAAAAAAAAUGCCAUGUAAGGGAAAAUAUGAGUAAGCAGGAAACAUCCCACCAAACACAAUAAAGAAAUAAAUGGAUUAAGAGAAA